RNAcentral lists this ribosomal RNA (850 nucleotides) under Pristimantis leopardus. Its description in RNAcentral is "partial 16S ribosomal RNA". It matches the Rfam family "Bacterial large subunit ribosomal RNA", at positions 1534 to 2608 of the family's 2925-position model. Lineage: Eukaryota; Metazoa; Chordata; Amphibia; Anura; Strabomantidae. The record is from RNAcentral.
CCCCAUAUAGACCCCUUUAACUGUACUGAGAACUUCUAUAACAUUAUAGAACCUUUUAUGCUAAAACUAGUAACAAGAGUCAACCCCUCUCUACAAUGCAACUACAAGCCAGCAAGAACCCACCACUGGCAACUAACAGAUCUAAACAAGAGUAGCAACUAUACCAGAAAACUCUACUUUACUCACUGUUAACCUUACACUAGAGCAUUUCAAGAAAGAUUAAAAGAAAAAGAAGGAACUCGGCAAACUUUAGCCCCGCCUGUUUACCAAAAACAUCGCCUCUUGUCCAUAUAAGAGGUCCAGCCUGCCCAGUGACUCUUGUUCAACGGCCGCGGUAUCCUAACCGUGCGAAGGUAGCGUAAUCACUUGUCUUCUAAAUAAAGACCAGUAUGAAAGGCAUCACGAGAGCUAAACUGUCUCCUUUCCCUAAUCAGUGAACCUAAUCUCCCCGUGAAGAAGCGGGGGUUAUUAUAUAAGACGAGAAGACCCUAUGGAGCUUUAAACAUCACAACACCUGCCUCACACUUUUAUCUACCCAGGUAUACCCUCUCACAGCACGCUGAUUGUAUGUUUUUGGUUGGGGUGACCGCGGAGAAAAACUAAUCCUCCGCAAUGAAAGGGAUCUUCCCUAAACAAUAAGCCACAACUUUAUGUAUCCACAAAUUGACAUUCAUUGACCCAAUACAUUUGAUUAACGAACCAAGUUACCCUAGGGAUAACAGCGCAAUCCACUUCAAGAGCCCCUAUCGACAAGUGGGCUUACGACCUCGAUGUUGGAUCGGGGUAUCCUAGUGGUGUAGCCGCUACUAAAGGUUCGUUUGUUCAACGAUUAAAACCCUACGUGAUCUGA